UACGUAGGGUGCAAGCGUUGUCCGGAUUUACUGGGCGUAAAGCGCGUGUAGGCGGCUUCGCAAGUCGGAUGUGAAAGCCCACGGCUCAACCGUGGAAGUGCAUCCGAAACUGCAUGGCUUGAGUCUCGGAGAGGAAGGUGGAAUGCUUGGUGUAGAGGUGAAAUUCGUAGAUAUCAAGCAGAACACCUGCGGCGAAGGCGGCCUUCUGGACGAUGACUGACGCUGAGACGCGAAAGCGUGGGGAGCAAACAGG
RNAcentral lists this ribosomal RNA (253 nucleotides) under uncultured bacterium. RNAcentral's name for it is "partial 16S ribosomal RNA". It matches the Rfam family "Bacterial small subunit ribosomal RNA", at positions 524 to 776 of the family's 1533-position model. The record is from RNAcentral.